This 468-nucleotide ribosomal RNA is filed under the name uncultured bacterium. Its description in RNAcentral is "partial 16S ribosomal RNA". It matches the Rfam family "Bacterial small subunit ribosomal RNA", at positions 28 to 507 of the family's 1533-position model. The record is from RNAcentral.
GACGAACGCUGGCGGCGUGCUUAACACAUGCAAGUCGAACGGAAAGGCCCUGCUUUUGUGGGGUGCUCGAGUGGCGAACGGGUGAGUAACACGUGAGUAACCUGCCCUUGACUUUGGGAUAACUUCAGGAAACUGGGGCUAAUACCGGAUAGGAGCUCCUGCUGCAUGGUGGGGGUUGGAAAGUUUAGGCGGUUGGGGAUGGACUCGGGGGUUAUCAGCUUGUUGGUGGGGUAGUGGCUUACCAAGGCAUUGACGGGUAGCCGGCAUGGGAGGGUGACCGGGCUCAUUGGGACUGAGAGACGGCCCAGACUCCUACGGGAGGCAGUAGUGGGGAAUAUUGCACAAUGGGCGGAAGCGUGAUGCAGCGACCCCGCGUGCGUGAUGACCGCCUUCGGGUGGUGAACCGCUUUCGCCUGAGACGAAGCGUGAGUGACGGUAAUGGGUAAAGAAGCACCGGCUAACUACGUG